RNAcentral lists this ribosomal RNA (484 nucleotides) under uncultured bacterium. RNAcentral's name for it is "partial 16S ribosomal RNA". It matches the Rfam family "Bacterial small subunit ribosomal RNA", at positions 29 to 507 of the family's 1533-position model. The record is from RNAcentral.
AUUGAACGCUGGCGGCAUGCUUUACACAUGCAAGUCGAACGGCAGCGCGGGCUUCGGCCUGGCGGCGAGUGGCGAACGGGUGAGUAAUACAUCGGAACGUGCCCAGUAGUGGGGGAUAGCUCGGCGAAAGCCGGAUUAAUACCGCAUACGACCUGACGGCGAAAGCGGGGGAUCUUCGGACCUCGCGCUCUUGGAGCGGCCGAUGGCAGAUUAGCUAGUUGGUGGGGUAAAGGCCUACCAAGGCGACGAUCUGUAGCUGGUCUGAGAGGACGACCAGCCACACUGGGACUGAGACACGGCCCAGACUCCUACGGGAGGAAGCAGUGGGGAAUUUUGGACAAUGGGCGAAAGCCUGAUCCAGCAAUGCCGCGUGUGUGAAGAAGGCCUUCGGGUUGUAAAGCACUUUUGGCGGGAACGAAAAGGACUGUGCCAAUACCACGGUUCGAUGACGGUACCCGCAGAAUAAGCACCGGCUAACUACGUG